UUAGCUCAGUUGGUAGAGCAGUUGACUUUUAAUCAAUUGGAUUGGUCGCAGGUUCGAAUCCUGCACGACCCACCA
RNAcentral lists this transfer RNA (75 nucleotides) under Salmonella enterica subsp. enterica serovar Typhimurium. RNAcentral describes it as "tRNA-Lys". It matches the Rfam family "tRNA". Rfam says of the family: Transfer RNA (tRNA) molecules are approximately 80 nucleotides in length. Their secondary structure includes four short double-helical elements and three loops (D, anti-codon, and T loops). Lineage: Bacteria; Pseudomonadati; Pseudomonadota; Gammaproteobacteria; Enterobacterales; Enterobacteriaceae. The record is from RNAcentral.